Trichonephila clavipes is the source of this 70-nucleotide non-coding RNA. The record is from the annotation of a GenBank genome assembly. NCBI's taxonomy places the organism in Eukaryota, Metazoa, Arthropoda, Arachnida, Araneae, Nephilidae.
GAAGUAGCGCAAUGGAUAGCGUGUUGAAUUUCUGCUCCAAAGGUCUUGGGUUCGAAUUCCACCUGGAAUA